GUCCAGACUCCUACGGGAGGCAGCAGUGAGGAAUAUUGGUCAAUGGCCGGAAGGCUGAACCAGCCAAGUCGCGUGAGGGAAUAAGGCCCUAUGGGUCGUAAACCUCUUUUGUCAGGGAGCAAAGGCGUCCACGAGUGGACGAAAGGAGAGUACCUGAAGAAAAAGCAUCGGCUAACUCCGUGCCAGCAGCCGCGGUAAUACGGAGGAUGCGAGCGUUAUCCGGAUUUAUUGGGUUUAAAGGGUGCGUAGGCGGACGCUUAAGUCAGCGGUAAAAUUGCGGGGCUCAACCUCGUCGAGCCGUUGAAACUGGGUGCCUUGAGUGGGCGAGAAGUACGCGGAAUGCGUGGUGUAGCGGUGAAAUGCAUAGAUAUCACGCAGAACUCCGAUUGCGAAGGCAGCCUACUAAACUGCCACUGACAUUGAUGCUCGAAAGUGUGGGUAUCAAACAGGAUUAGAUACCCCUGUAAAU
RNAcentral lists this ribosomal RNA (469 nucleotides) under uncultured bacterium. RNAcentral describes it as "bacterial SSU rRNA". It matches the Rfam family "Bacterial small subunit ribosomal RNA", at positions 329 to 795 of the family's 1533-position model. The record is from RNAcentral.